This 525-nucleotide ribosomal RNA is filed under the name uncultured bacterium. RNAcentral's name for it is "bacterial SSU rRNA". It matches the Rfam family "Bacterial small subunit ribosomal RNA", at positions 984 to 1509 of the family's 1533-position model. The record is from RNAcentral.
ACAUCCAGCGAACUUGGCAGAGAUGCCUUGGUGCCUUCGGGAACGCUGAGACAGGUGCUGCAUGGCUGUCGUCAGCUCGUGUUGUGAAAUGUUGGGUUAAGUCCCGNAACAAGCGCAACCCUUAUCCUUUGUUGCCAGCGAUUCGGUCGGGAACUCAAAGGAGACUGCCGGUGAUAAACCGGAGGAAGGUGGGGAUGACGUCAAGUCAUCAUGGCCCUUACGAGUAGGGCUACACACGUGCUACAAUGGCGCAUACAAAGAGAAGCGACCUCGCGAGAGCAAGCGGACCUCAUAAAGUGCGUCGUAGUCCGGAUCGGAGUCUGCAACUCGACUCCGUGAAGUCGGAAUCGCUAGUAAUCGUGGAUCAGAAUGCCACGGUGAAUACGUUCCCGGGCCUUGUACACACCGCCCGUCACACCAUGGGAGUGGGUUGCAAAAGAAGUAGGUAGCUUAACCUUCGGGAGGGCGCUUACCACUUUGUGAUUCAUGACUGGGGUGAAGUCGUAACAAGGUAGGCGUAGCGAG